AACAGUUACAGAUUUUUAAUUGUAAUUGAAUUAUUUACAUAAACAGUGAAGUUGACAAUUAUUUGUUGCUACAUGUAAGGUUUGGAUGACAGCGACUGUUACACAUUUGUCCCGACUUUUUGCAAAGACAACGUUUAGUGUUACAUCUAGUCUUACCACUAGCACUACAGCCACAUUUUAUGUAACCCUGACCAUUACAUAAAGAAACUUUACUGACAGCUUUUCUAAAGGAUAUUUCAUUAUCAUAAUUUACAGGUUGAAUAGCAAUAAAGUUACUGUCAGACAGUUCAGACUGAUUCCUGGUGUAAAGUCCACGUAGUAUUCCUUUUUUAAUUCCCAGUUGAUAACGAUGCUCUUCCUUUCCAGUCACAACAGCCAUAAGGUUAGGGGUCAUCCAUAAUUGUCAACCAUUUUCCAAAGUGUACAAAACGUACACUUGGGUGGAGGGGGUUAAACAAUCAAAAUUUUACCGUACGCCUUUAAAAAAAAUAAAAGUAAAACAGCCAG
RNAcentral lists this long non-coding RNA (507 nucleotides) under Mytilus galloprovincialis (Mediterranean mussel). The record is from RNAcentral. Lineage: Eukaryota; Metazoa; Mollusca; Bivalvia; Mytilida; Mytilidae.